Molecule: ribosomal RNA, 673 nt
Filed under: Rhodocollybia clavipes
Lineage: Eukaryota; Fungi; Basidiomycota; Agaricomycetes; Agaricales; Omphalotaceae
Description: eukaryotic LSU rRNA
Rfam family: 5.8S ribosomal RNA (bases 248-401)
Source: RNAcentral
AUUGAGAUAUAAAAGGUUAUUGAGGUGUACAUGUUUGCUGGCCUUGUUUAACAACAAGGCAUGUGCACGGUUCACUGAUUGACUGAUUCUAUUAUCUAUCCACCUGUGCACUUUAUGUAGAAGUUUAUGUUGGGCCAACUCUUGUUAGUUGUUGGUUUGAUGUGCUUCUAUGUCUUUACAAACUAUUUUGAAGUAUGUCCAGAAUGUUGUUGUAUUGGGACUUUAUUGACCCUUUAAACUUUUAUACAACUUUCAGCAAUGGAUCUCUUGGCUCUCCCAUCGAUGAAGAACGCAGCGAAAUGCGAUAAGUAAUGUGAAUUGCAGAAUUCAGUGAAUCAUCGAAUCUUUGAACGCAUCUUGCACCCUCUGGUAUUCCGGAGGGUAUGCCUGUUUGAGUGUCAUUAAAUUCUCAAUUUCAAUAACUUGUUUAUUGAAACUUGGAUGUGGAGGCUUGUUGGUAUCUCGGAUGUCAGCUCCUCUUAAAUGCAUUAGUGGAAAAACCUCCUCCUGUUGGGUUGGUCUACCUUGAUGUGAUAAUUAUCUACAUUUUGGUCGUUCAACUGUUCAGAACAAUUAUGUUCUGGUUGGGAUAUUGCAUUUGUGCUUUAUCUGUUGUAGGGGGGGGGUAGUUGUCUGCUUUCUAACUGUCUUUUUGUACAUUUUAUUGAUAACU